UCAGUCGGCCGGACGGCCGCUCCGGCUAGGGUCGAAAGGCUGCCGGAGAGGAAAGUCCGGGCUCCAUCGACAUGCGGUGCCGGAUAACAUCCGGCGGGGGUGACCCCAGGGAAAGUGCCACAGAGAACGAACCGCCCCCGCCUCCGCCCUUUGGGCUUCGGCGAGGCAGGCCCUCGGGCCUGCUACGACGUAGCAGCGCAAGCUGCGAAGGCGAGAGCAAGGGUGAAAAGGUGCGGUAAGAGCGCACCGCGUUUCCGGCAACGGAGACGGCACGGCAAACCCCACCGGGAGCAAAACCGAAUAGGGACGGCAUCGCGGGCUGUUCGCGAAAGCGAUAACGCCGCAGGGCUAUGUCAGGCUCGCCGUCCGGGUAGGUUGCUCGAGGCCAUGUGCGAACAUGGUCCCAGAGGAAUGGCCGUCACGUAUCGUCUGCGCAAGCGGGCGGUGCCCUACAGAACCCGGCUUACAGGCCGGCUGAUACG
This 482-nucleotide RNase P RNA is filed under the name Bradyrhizobium sp. RNAcentral's name for it is "RNase P RNA component class A". It matches the Rfam family "Bacterial RNase P class A". Rfam says of the family: Ribonuclease P (RNase P) is a ubiquitous endoribonuclease, found in archaea, bacteria and eukarya as well as chloroplasts and mitochondria. Its best characterised activity is the generation of mature 5'-ends of tRNAs by cleaving the 5'-leader elements of precursor-tRNAs. Lineage: Bacteria; Pseudomonadati; Pseudomonadota; Alphaproteobacteria; Hyphomicrobiales; Nitrobacteraceae. The record is from RNAcentral.